UACAGAGGGUGCGAGCGUUAAUCGGAAUUACUGGGCGUAAAGCGUGCGUAGGCGGCUGUACAAGUCAAAGGUGAAAUCCCUCGGCUCAACUGAGGAACUGCCUUUGAAACUGUACGGCUUGAGGCCGGGAGGGGGUAGCGGAAUUCCCAAUGUAGCGGUGAAAUGCGUAGAUAUUGGGAGGAGCACCAGUGGCGAAGGCGGCUACCUGGACCGGUUCUGACGCUGAUGCGCGAAAGCGUGGGUAGCAAACAGG
This 253-nucleotide ribosomal RNA is filed under the name uncultured bacterium. Its description in RNAcentral is "partial 16S ribosomal RNA". It matches the Rfam family "Bacterial small subunit ribosomal RNA", at positions 524 to 776 of the family's 1533-position model. The record is from RNAcentral.